AAUGAACGCUGGCGGCGUGCUUAACACAUGCAAGUCGAACGAGAAAGUUCCUUCGGGGACGAGUAAAGUGGCGAACGGGUGCGUAACACGUGAGUUAUUUACCCUUUAGUGAAGGAUACCCUCGGGAAACCGAGGUUAAUACUGCAUAAGUCUUUUCGAAGAGAAAGGUGGCCUCUUUGCUACCGCUAAAGGAUAAGCUUGCGGACUAUUAGCUAGUUGGUAGGGUAAAGGCCUACCAAGGCUUAGAUGGUUAGCCGACCUGAGAGGGUGAUCGGCCACAUUGGGACUGAGAUACGGCCCAGACUCCUACGGGUGGCUG
This 319-nucleotide ribosomal RNA is filed under the name uncultured bacterium. RNAcentral describes it as "bacterial SSU rRNA". It matches the Rfam family "Bacterial small subunit ribosomal RNA", at positions 29 to 351 of the family's 1533-position model. The record is from RNAcentral.